RNAcentral lists this transfer RNA (77 nucleotides) under Francisella sp. Its description in RNAcentral is "tRNA-Pro". It matches the Rfam family "tRNA". From Rfam's summary of the family: Transfer RNA (tRNA) molecules are approximately 80 nucleotides in length. Their secondary structure includes four short double-helical elements and three loops (D, anti-codon, and T loops). Further hydrogen bonds mediate the characteristic L-shaped molecular structure. tRNAs have two regions of fundamental functional importance: the anti-codon, which is responsible for specific mRNA codon recognition, and the 3' end, to which the tRNAs corresponding amino acid is attached (by aminoacyl-tRNA synthetases). tRNAs cope with the degeneracy of the genetic code in two manners: having more than one tRNA (with a specific anti-codon) for a particular amino acid; and 'wobble' base-pairing, i.e. permitting non-standard base-pairing at the 3rd anti-codon position. Lineage: Bacteria; Pseudomonadati; Pseudomonadota; Gammaproteobacteria; Thiotrichales; Francisellaceae. The record is from RNAcentral. RNAcentral also lists the same sequence under 1 other name.
CGGAGUGUAGCGCAACCCGGUAGCGCACUUGCAUGGGGUGCAAGGGGUCGAAGGUUCAAAUCCUUUCACUCCGACCA